This 253-nucleotide ribosomal RNA is filed under the name uncultured bacterium. RNAcentral describes it as "partial 16S ribosomal RNA". It matches the Rfam family "Bacterial small subunit ribosomal RNA", at positions 524 to 776 of the family's 1533-position model. The record is from RNAcentral.
UACGAAGGGGGCUAGCGUUGCUCGGAAUCACUGGGCGUAAAGCGCACGUAGGCGGAUUGCUAAGUCAGGGGUGAAAUCCUGGAGCUCAACUCCAGAACUGCCUUUGAUACUGAAGAUCUUGAGUUCGGGAGAGGUGAGUGGAACUGCGAGUGUAGAGGUGAAAUUCGUAGAUAUUCGCAAGAACACCAGUGGCGAAGGCGGUUCUCUGGGACGGUACUGACGCUGAGACGCGAAAGCGUGGGGAGCGAACAGG